GUUGAGAUGAUCGCAAAAGACGCUAUGGUAUAUGCUCAGCAAGGCAAAAGAAAGACAUUGCAAAGAAAAGACCUGGACAACGCAAUCGAGGCCAUAGACGAAUUUGCAUUUUUAGAAGGCACGUUAGAUUAAAUGGUUCCUCAGGAGAUGGAAGCACCAAAUUGAAACCAUCCAAUAAACUGUUUUUAUUUUUAUGGAUGUGAUACAAUGUGAAAACCUCUGUGCUACUUUUUUUUUUCCAGAAUUUGAAUAUUUAUGUCUGGUUUUCCACAAAGUAUCUUUGAUGGAGGGAUGUCAUUCUUUACAUUUGAAACGUGUGGCCAUUACAAGUGUACAUUAAUUUGUAAAUAUUGGUGAAAUGUUGCUUUUCUGUGAAAUAAAUGUGACUUCCAGACUA
Molecule: long non-coding RNA, 397 nt
Organism: Hippocampus comes (tiger tail seahorse)
Lineage: Eukaryota; Metazoa; Chordata; Actinopteri; Syngnathiformes; Syngnathidae
Exons: 3
Source: RefSeq, a predicted model, not a curated record